This 496-nucleotide ribosomal RNA is filed under the name uncultured bacterium. RNAcentral describes it as "partial 16S ribosomal RNA". It matches the Rfam family "Bacterial small subunit ribosomal RNA", at positions 28 to 506 of the family's 1533-position model. The record is from RNAcentral.
GAUGAACGCUGGCGGCGUGCCUAAUACAUGCAAGUCGAGCGAACAGACGAGGAGCUUGCUCCUCUGACGUUAGCGGCGGACGGGUGAGUAACACGUGGAUAACCUACCUAUAAGACUGGGAUAACUUCGGGAAACCGGAGCUAAUACCGGAUAAUAUAUUGAACCGCAUGGUUCAAUAGUGAAAGACGGUUUUGCUGUCACUUAUAGAUGGAUCCGCGCCGCAUUAGCUAGUUGGUAAGGUAACGGCUUACCAAGGCAACGAUGCGUAGCCGACCUGAGAGGGUGUUCGGCCACACUGGAACUGAGACACGGCCCAGCUCCUUAGGGGAGGCAGAGGAAGGAAAUCUUCGGCAAGGGGCGAAAGCCUGACGGAGCAACGCGGCGUGAGUGAUGAAGGUCUUCGGAUCGUAAAACUCUGUUAUUAGGGAAGAACAAAUGUGUAAGUAACAAUGCACGUCUGGACGGUACCUAAUCAGAAAGCCACGGCUAACUACGU